RNAcentral lists this ribosomal RNA (859 nucleotides) under uncultured Sulfurovum sp. RNAcentral's name for it is "bacterial SSU rRNA". It matches the Rfam family "Bacterial small subunit ribosomal RNA", at positions 505 to 1362 of the family's 1533-position model. The record is from RNAcentral. Lineage: Bacteria; Pseudomonadati; Campylobacterota; Epsilonproteobacteria; Campylobacterales; Sulfurovaceae.
GUGCCAGCCGCCGCGCGGUAAUACGGAGGGUGCAAGCGUUACUCGGAAUCACUGGGCGUAAAGCGCGCGCAGGCGGCUAGAUAAGUUGGAAGUGAAAUCCUAUGGCUCAACCAUAGAACUGCUUCCAAAACUGUUUAGCUAGAGUCUGGGAGGGGAAGAUGGAAUUAGUAGUGUAGGGGUAAAAUCCGUAGAGAUUACUAGGAAUACCAAAAGCGAAGGCGAUCUUCUGGAACAGUACUGACGCUGAGGCGCGAAAGCGUGGGGAGCAAACAGGAUUAGAUACCCUGGUAGUCCACGCCCUAAACGAUGAAUGUUAGUCGUCGGGACUCUAGUAGUUUCGGUGAUGCAGUUAACACAUUAAACAUUCCGCCUGGGGAGUACGGUCGCAAGAUUAAAACUCAAAGGAAUAGACGGGGACCCGCACAAGUGGUGGAGCAUGUGGUUUAAUUCGAAGAUACGCGAAGAACCUUACCUAGCCUUGACAUAUUUUAGAACUCCGCAGAGAUGUAGAGGUGCCUUCGGGAGCUAAUAUACAGGUGCUGCACGGCUGUCGUCAGCUCGUGUCGUGAGAUGUUGGGUUAAGUCCCGCAACGAGCGCAACCCUCGUUCUUAGUUACUAACGGUUCGGCCGAGGACUCUAAGAAGACUGCCUUCGUAAGGAGGAGGAAGGUGAGGACGACGUCAAGUCAUCAUGGCCCUUACGGCUAGGGCAACACACGUGCUACAAUGGUUAGGACAAUGAGACGCAAUACCGCGAGGUGGAGCAAAUCUAUAAACCUAAUCUCAGUUCGGAUUGUAGUCUGCAACUCGACUACAUGAAGCUGGAAUCACUAGUAAUCGUAGAUCAGCUAUGCUACGG